Molecule: long non-coding RNA, 496 nt
Filed under: Phasianus colchicus (ring-necked pheasant)
Lineage: Eukaryota; Metazoa; Chordata; Aves; Galliformes; Phasianidae
Description: lncRNA (ENSPCLG00000011159.1)
Source: RNAcentral
AUGCCUGUCUUUAUGGCACAGUGUGAGCCUGGUGCCCGAUUUGCUGCUUUUCUCCCCCUUUUAUUUUGCUGCUGCACCUUCCUGACCUGGUUAGGUGGGAACACACCCCAGUUCAGGGGCAUUUCUUCCUAUCCUUGCUUUUUAGGGGAGGCUUGGUGCAUCCCCAGCAGUAGAGGUGCACCAGGAGCUGUGCAAAUGCCAAGCACUUUAAGGCACAAGCAUUUCAAAAUGGAAUUUCUCAUCAGUGCCUGCUGCUUUUUAAACAUGACCCUGGAGUGCUUCUGGGAGAGCAGGAAGCCAUGGAGGAGAAGCAGCUCCUUGGGGCAGGACCAGAGAAUCCUUCUACAUGGACCGCGCAAUCUGGCUCCUCCUUACCAAGUUAAGCACCAAGUUUUGCAGUGCCAGCUGGCUGCUGUAAUUGGCUCUCUCGUGGCGUUAUUCACAGCUCUUCCCUCUUUCUUUCCCAGCUACCUUCCAUCUUGCUUGUUAAAAGCAA